GUGCGAUUCACCUUUACUAACGGCGAGUGAUUUUAACACAACCGCGGAACGAAAGCUCAGUGUUUGACUAGAGACAGCAGAGAUGUGGCCCAGAAUGACACCGCUUCGGGAGCUGCAUAAAAACGAACACAAGAAUGUCGCCUUAAUAUUACGAGCCAUUGACCAUGUGAUCAGUAAGGAUGAAGACUGUAUCCAGAAACUUGUUCAUCGCGGCUUGGUUGUGAAGAUAAGCAUUUUUAAUUCAUUCAGAUUAACAUUUAAAAGAUCACGAGUAUGCAUACUAGUCAGUAUAUUCAUUUACAAUGUGCUGUCGUUUUACAUGCUGAAUUGGUUUGAGACGGUGUCAGAGAAUCUUAAAGAACCGCACAAACGAUCCAAGGUGGCCAUGAAGCUCAUCGAAGUUUUCUACGAAGUUUCCAUGAGUCUGUGUCAGAUCACCACUGCAGGCAGUAAUAAGAUCCUGGAUAUUUUUCUGCUGCGGGUUGGGGCUGUUGUGCUGGAUCAUGAAGUGCCUUUCUGUUUACGUCUAGAGGCUAUCAGAACCAUAAACUCCAUGUUGGACAGUAGUCCUAAAGACAUCAGGAAGAAACUCUGCCAGUCAGAUGACCAUAUCGGGCUCUUAGAAGACUUGGCAAAAGCGCUGAUUGACAUUGGUGAUUAUGAAAUGCAGGUGGCAAUUUCUGAGGCACUCUGUAGGAUGACGCCAAAGAAACUGAGAGAAGACUUUGCUGGCAAAUGGUUCAGUUUCAGAAGCUUUGCUUCAGCUUUUACUUCAAUUUGUGACAAAGAUUUUGAAACUGACUGCAGGACAUUUCUGAAUGAACUCAACAGCUAUUUUGGGAACUCGAGAAGAGUCUUCUCAUUCCCUUGCAUUAGGGUAUUUCUUGACUCAACUGAACUCUUCAAGCCCGAGGAUGAGUCUCUAAAGGAGUUUUGGGUGGAUUUCAACAUUGGAACAUCAACUAUUAGUUUCUUUGUAAAUGACCCACAGAACACACUGUGGGAGCUGAUUCAUCUGCCUAAAAAUGCCAUCAACUUGUAUGAUCUACAAGAGCAAGGUGAUCAUAAGAUAUUGACCAUUCACAUGAUUAUCCCGGUCUGUCAUGGAGAGAUCACUGGCAAAAUGGUCCAAAUCAUCUUUGGCUUGGAGCACAACAUCCAAACUGCCCUGACAAGAGUGUUUGAAGAGAAACCACAGCCUGCCCCUGACUCAAAGGAUUCUGUGAAAUUAGAAGAGGACUUAGCUGUGACAGAAGGGACCCAGCAUGGGCAAACUGAGAUGCCACAGACAGUUACCAGUUCACCUGCUGAAGAGACCAAAGACAUCAGUAAGGUUUCCUUCCGUCUGAGUGGACCAAGCAGAUAUCCUAGACCAAUGGUUAAAAGUUCCCCUGGAGAAGAUAUCUUUUACUUAAAGGAUCAUUCAGAUUCAGAGGUGAUGCUUGAGGUGUCCCAAUGUCUGAGUGAAACUUUUGAAACAGACCGGUCAGGGAAGUCACAUGACAGGAAGCCAGAGACUAUAACAUUCAUGAGCGCCUUAUGGCACUACCAGGUUGUUCUAGCCAAGACAAUGUUGUUCUGUCAGAAGCCAUCUUCUAAUGGGUCCACAAAAUCCCUCCCUGACACUCUGAGCAAAACACCUGUGAAGAAGAGGACACGGGUGCUGCGUUCAGAUGAAGGGUUCCUCCGCAGAGAAACCCCUCGCAUUGACUACAGCAGGAGGAAGCCCAGAGCCAAGAGCAAAUUCAGGGUUCUCCCUCUGUCCUCACCCAGCAGUAAUGAGGAAUUCUCCAAGUUUUCAACACCCAAACACAGACUUCAUGGAAGGGAACGAAUGAAAAGUGAUGAAUGGCAGCCUCAAGUCAAAUUAUUGAGAUCACUGAAUAUCGAGUCAUCCCUUUUCACUUCUGAUUCAGGCUUUCAAGACAAGACUGUUGUUUCUGAAACCAGUUUACCGGUAGAGGAACCUGAUAAUCUUAUUGAAGAGGAACCCAGUUUAGAUAAAGAAGCAUCACCCCCUCCCCAAAGAAGUGAACCACUUGAAUCAUCAGAGCAAGAUGUGAGUUUAAAAAUUGACCAGCAGCAGCUGCCCAAACACCUGACAAUCAAACCCAGAAAACUGUUCCUGUCCAGCUCACUAGAGGACACUGCAGAGCGAGUAACUCAAGCGUUGGAGGAUGAGGAGUCAGAGGAAGAGUUGGGUUCUGGCGUCAGAGCCGCUUUUAACUCAUUUAAGACUCAACUGAGGGCACACUUCUCUAGCAGGUAUAAAAAGAUUGAAGCCAGAUCACUGCAGUCUUUAACUGAUUGUCAAAGGAAUGUGACCUCCCUCUUGGGAACGGUUCACAAUCAGAGGCUGGUGCAUUUGGAGCAGUUCCAGAACUCUGUGGUGCAGCAGUUGGCGUGUUUGGAGCAAGACUGUCUUUCUCUCAAAACUAUUGAGAGAGAAACUGUGAAUUUCUGGCAGUCUGAGUCUAACGCAGUUCGGGCGUUCUGUGAUAGACAGCAGAAGAGCCUCUGUCUACCAUGGCAGGCUGGAUUCUCUGAGACUCCCCCGUAAGAGCGCUGAUUCUUCACUUGGUCUUUUAGAGAGCAAAGAGGCCAAAAUAAGUGUGCCUGCAGAUAUCGUGACAUCCCAGUCUUCUGCAGAGCACUCAUCCAUGGGUGACCCGUCAGAAACCACUACAGCAGACCCCUCAUAAGAUAUCUUCACUGUGAUGCUUUCCUUUUCAUCUUACAUUUUUCUUUGUCUG
This is an RNA transcript of Myxocyprinus asiaticus (Chinese sucker), 2753 nucleotides long. It is a transcript of the gene named synaptonemal complex protein 2-like, with no coding region annotated. The transcript has 32 exons. Lineage: Eukaryota; Metazoa; Chordata; Actinopteri; Cypriniformes; Catostomidae. The record is from RefSeq and is a predicted model, not a curated record.